AGUCAACUGCAAGGAGCACAGUUCCUGGAACCACAGCUUCUGGGGCAGGAGGAGUCCUAUCUGUCGUAUCUACCAGCAACACUCGACGUUAUCGAAAGAGACCUCUCAGAGUCUAGGAAUUCAAUUUGUCAUGGGAAGAAUCUUCUGGAAGCAGAGAAGAUAGUAGACAAGAGGCCCCAGUUUUCCUGCCGGAGAUCUCUGAGAAUAUUUGAGGUUGUUCAUGUUCUGUUUGCUUAUUGUGAACGAGACAAAGUUAGCUUCCUUUUGAAUAUCAAACUCUGCUUUUUGGAAGGGCUCCCUGCACAAGCGAUAUGAGACUGCCUGCCUUGUGUGAGCCUUGGAUGAGCCCUGCAGCUCCUUCGAGAUGCUCCUUGGAUAGUCCUGAUGGAGAAGACCCCAAGGAAGCUUGGUCCUGCUUGCGAUGAGCUUGCUGUGCUUUCACGGACACUCUUUGUUUCUUCUACCAGCCUUCAGUGCCAGGAUGAGCUUGAAAGGAGAGCUGAUGCCAGGGCUGUAGCCUUCCCCAGCCAGAGCAUGUGGGCCACACCCUUUCUGGAUGGCUAGGCUGUGGGGAGAAGCUAUGGGAUGCUUGAGAAGUUGUCACAUCUCCCCUGGGGACAGUUUGGUUUUCAGGGUUACAUCCAUUCAAAAACACCCCCUGGUAUUCAGGCUUGUGAAAGACAAGCUAACUUGACCCUGUUCCUUUGUUCUCACUGAGGUCCUGUCCUUGGCAUCUCCUUCCUCCGGUAGACACCACCGAGGUGCAGACACUACCCUGAUGGGACUUCCUGUCCUGCUGUUUGGCUCUGGAAGAGACUUGAUUCCUUUCUUUUU
RNAcentral lists this long non-coding RNA (834 nucleotides) under Mus caroli (Ryukyu mouse). RNAcentral's name for it is "lncRNA (MGP_CAROLIEiJ_G0004917.1)". The record is from RNAcentral. Lineage: Eukaryota; Metazoa; Chordata; Mammalia; Rodentia; Muridae.